CCAGUCUCAUUGACUUCAAAUGGACUACUCACAUCAACAAAGUCAAAGUAUUUACUGGAUCUGUCCCUAAAAAUUGAAAAAGUGAGUUCAUCUAACGUUGCUAUAAAAACCUCACGAAUUUGUGUAAUCAUUUCUUGAACCUGGGAAAAGCCAUCAGAAUACACCUGUCAUAUUUUCACUAAGAUGAGAUACUUGAACAGGAUCUGUUUGAAAGCAAUACUGUUUGCAGUGUAAAGAGGCAGUUAAAUCUCAGACCAAGGUCAGUGCUUGUCUUUGGAGACCACAUUAU
Molecule: long non-coding RNA, 289 nt
Organism: Trachemys scripta elegans
Lineage: Eukaryota; Metazoa; Chordata; Testudines; Emydidae
Exons: 3
Source: RefSeq, a predicted model, not a curated record